This 547-nucleotide ribosomal RNA is filed under the name uncultured bacterium. RNAcentral describes it as "bacterial SSU rRNA". It matches the Rfam family "Bacterial small subunit ribosomal RNA", at positions 358 to 916 of the family's 1533-position model. The record is from RNAcentral.
GGAAUAUUGGGCAAUGGAGGAAACUCUGACCCAGCGACGCCGCGUGCGGGAUGAAGGCCUUCGGGUUGUAAACCGCUUUCAGUAGGGAAGAAGCGAAAGUGACGGUACCUACAGAAGAAGCACCGGCUAACUAUGUGCCAGCAGCCGCGGUAAUACAUAGGGUGCAAGCGUUGUCCGGAAUUAUUGGGCGUAAAGAGCUCGUAGGUGGUUCGAUACGUCGGAUGUGAAAAUCAGGGGCUCAACCCCUGACCUGCAUCCGAUACGGUCGAGCUGGAGUUUGGUAGGGGAGACUGGAAUUCCUGGUGUAGCGGUGGAAUGCGCAGAUAUCAGGAGGAACACCGAUGGCGAAGGCAGGUCUCUGGGCCAAUACUGACACUGAGGAGCGAAAGCGUGGGGAGCGAACAGGAUUAGAUACCCUGGUAGUCCACGCCGUAAACGGUGGGCGCUAGUUGUGCGAACCUUCCACGGUUUGUGCGACGCAGCUAACGCAUUAAGCGCCCCGCCUGGGGAGUACGAUCGCAAGAUUAAAACUCAAAUGAAUUGACGG